UUACUUACCUGGAUGGGGUCAAUGUAUGAUCAAGAAGGUCCAUGGCCUAGGUUAGUGACCUCCAUUGCACUCAGGAGGGGUGCUUGCCUAAGGUCUACCCAAGUGGUGGAGCCUACAUCAUAAUUUGUGCAAGGGGGACUUGCGUUCGCGCAGUCCCCAC
RNAcentral lists this small nuclear RNA (160 nucleotides) under Daucus carota subsp. sativus. RNAcentral describes it as "sRNA DCAR_sn00356". It matches the Rfam family "U1 spliceosomal RNA". Rfam says of the family: U1 is a small nuclear RNA (snRNA) component of the spliceosome (involved in pre-mRNA splicing). Its 5' end forms complementary base pairs with the 5' splice junction, thus defining the 5' donor site of an intron. The record is from Rfam by way of RNAcentral. Lineage: Eukaryota; Viridiplantae; Streptophyta; Magnoliopsida; Apiales; Apiaceae.